UGACUGCAAACAGAUAAAGAAACUACACUUUCACUUGCUGCUUUUAGGUAUCAUAUGAUCCUUUACCAUCAAUUCUAAGCUCAUUCAUGUCUCCUCUAACCCUUCAACAACUAUGAGAGGGAGAUUAUAACUUCUCUACAAUGCCAUCACUAAAGCAGCCCCUAUACAAAGAAAGGUAUUCAUUCCUAAACCAGCAAACAACAAUUCCCUUUCUUCAGUCUUUCGCCGUAUAUUCUCUUUAUUCUUUUCCUCUUAUAGGUUGCUCUCUUUAGUA
This 274-nucleotide unclassified non-coding RNA is filed under the name Hevea brasiliensis (rubber tree). The record is from RNAcentral. Lineage: Eukaryota; Viridiplantae; Streptophyta; Magnoliopsida; Malpighiales; Euphorbiaceae.